This 71-nucleotide transfer RNA is filed under the name Loxodonta africana (African savanna elephant). It matches the Rfam family "tRNA". Rfam says of the family: Transfer RNA (tRNA) molecules are approximately 80 nucleotides in length. Their secondary structure includes four short double-helical elements and three loops (D, anti-codon, and T loops). The record is from Rfam by way of RNAcentral. Lineage: Eukaryota; Metazoa; Chordata; Mammalia; Proboscidea; Elephantidae.
GCAUUGGUAGUUCGGUGGCAGAAUUCUCACCUCCCAUGUAGGAAGCCCAGGUUUGAUUCCUGGUCAAUGGU